RNAcentral lists this non-coding RNA (58 nucleotides) under Oxyrrhis marina. Lineage: Eukaryota; Dinophyceae; Oxyrrhinales; Oxyrrhinaceae. The record is from RNAcentral.
CAAAGACGCCCGAGAGCCUGGGCGCCGGCACAGAGCAACGAGACCCGCUCUAGUAGCC